This is a non-coding RNA of Pteropus alecto (black flying fox), 74 nucleotides long. Lineage: Eukaryota; Metazoa; Chordata; Mammalia; Chiroptera; Pteropodidae. The record is from Rfam.
GGCUCCAUAGUGUAGUGGUUAGCACAUCUGCUUUGCAUGCAGAAGGUCCUGGAUUCAUGCCCCUGGUGGAGCCA